GGGUGGUAAUGCCGGAUGCUCCAGUUGAUCGCAUGGUCUUCUGGGAAAGCCUUUGCGGCAUGGGAUGGGGUCGCGUCCUAUCAGCUUGAUGGCGGGGUAACGGCCCACCAUGGCUUCGACGGGUAGCCGGCCUGAGAGGGCGACCGGCCACAUUGGGACUGAGAUACGGCCCAGACUCCUACGGGAGGCAGCAGUGGGGAAUAUUGCACAAUGGGCGCAAGCCUGAUGCAGCGACGCCGCGUGAGGGAUGGAGGCCUUCGGGUUGUAAACCUCUUUUGUUAGGGAGCAAGGCAUUUUGUGUUGAGUGUACCUUUCGAAUAAGCACCGGCUAACUACGUGCCAGCAGCCGCGGUAAUACGUAGGGUGCAAGCGUUAUCCGGAAUUAUUGGGCGUAAAGGGCUCGUAGGCGGUUCGUCGCGUCCGGUGUGAAAGUCCAUCGCUUAACGGUGGAUCCGCGCCGGGUACGGGCGGGCUUGAGUGCGGUAGGGGAGACUGGAAUUCCCGGUGUAACGGUGGAAUGUGUAGAUAUCG
RNAcentral lists this ribosomal RNA (531 nucleotides) under Bifidobacterium breve. RNAcentral describes it as "bacterial SSU rRNA". It matches the Rfam family "Bacterial small subunit ribosomal RNA", at positions 158 to 699 of the family's 1533-position model. The record is from RNAcentral. Lineage: Bacteria; Bacillati; Actinomycetota; Actinomycetes; Bifidobacteriales; Bifidobacteriaceae.